GAUGAACGCUGGCGGCGUGCCUAAUACAUGCCAGUCGAGCGAACAGACGAGGAGCUUGCUCCUCUGACGUUAGCGGCGGACGGGUGAGUAACACGUGGAUAACCUACCUAUAAGACUGGGAUAACUUUGGGAAACCGGAGCUAAUACCGGAUAAUAUAUUGAACCGCAUGGUUCAAUAGUGAAAGACGGUUUUGCUGUCACUUAUAGAUGGAUCCGCGCCGCAUUAGCUAGUUGGUAAGGUAACGGCUUACCAAGGCAACGAUGCGUAGCCGACCUGAGAGGGUGAUCGGCCACACUGGAACUGAGACACGGUCCAGACUCCUACGGGAGGCAGCAGUAGGGAAUCUUCCGCAAUGGGCGAAAGCCUGACGGAGCAACGCCGCGUGAGUGAUGAAGGUCUUCGGAUCGUAAAACUCUGUUAUUAGGGAAGAACAAAUGUGUAAGUAACUAUGCACGUCUUGACGGUACCUAAUCAGAAAGCCACGGCUAACUACGUG
RNAcentral lists this ribosomal RNA (497 nucleotides) under uncultured bacterium. RNAcentral's name for it is "partial 16S ribosomal RNA". It matches the Rfam family "Bacterial small subunit ribosomal RNA", at positions 28 to 507 of the family's 1533-position model. The record is from RNAcentral.